RNAcentral lists this ribosomal RNA (486 nucleotides) under uncultured bacterium. Its description in RNAcentral is "bacterial SSU rRNA". It matches the Rfam family "Bacterial small subunit ribosomal RNA", at positions 28 to 526 of the family's 1533-position model. The record is from RNAcentral.
GACGAACGCUGGCGGCGUGCUUAACACAUGCAAGUCGAACGAUGAACCGGCUUCGGUCGGGGAUUGGUGGCGAACGGGUGAGUAACACGUGGGUAAUCUGCCCCGCACUUCGGGACAAGCCCUGGAAACGGGGUCUAAUACCGGAUACGACCAUCUGAGGCAUCUCAUGGUGGUGGAAAGCUCCGGCGGUGUGGGAUGAGCCCGCGGCCUAUCAGCUUGUUGGUGAGGUAGUGGCUCACCAAGGCGACGACGGGUAGCCGGCCUGAGAGGGCGACCGGUCACACUGGGACUGAGACACGGCCCAGACUCCUACGGGAGGCAGCAGUGGGGAAUAUUGCACAAUGGGCGCAAGCCUGAUGCAGCGACGCCGCGUGGGGGAUGACGGCCUUCGGGUUGUAAACCUCUUUCAGCACGGAAGAAGCCGUAAGGUGACGGUACGUGCAGAAGAAGCGCCGGCUAACUACGUGCCAGCCGCCGCCGUAACAC